GAUGAACGCUGGCGGCGUGCCUAAUACAUGCAAGUCGAGCGAACGGACGAGAAGCUCGCUUCUCUGAUGUUAGCGGCGGACGGGUGAGUAACACGUGGAUAACCUACCUAUAUGACUGGGAUAACUUCGGGAAACCGGAGUUAAUACCGGAUAAUUUUUUGAACCGCAUGGUUGAAAAGUGAAAGACGGUCUUGCUGUCACUUCUAGAUGGAUCCGCGCUGCAUUAGCUAGUUGGUAAGGUAACGGCUUACCAAGGCAACGAUGCAUAGACGACGUGAGAGGGUGGUCGGCCACAGUGGAACUGAGACACGGUCCAGACUCCGACGGGAGGCAGCAGUAGGGAAUCGUCCGCAAUGGGCGAAAGCCUGACGGAGCCACGCCGCGUGAGUGAUGAAGGUCUUCGGAUCGUAAAACUCUGUUAUUAGGGAAGAACAUAUGUGUAAGUAACUGUGCACAUCGUGACGGUACCUAAUCAGAAAGCCACGGCUAACUACGUG
RNAcentral lists this ribosomal RNA (497 nucleotides) under uncultured bacterium. RNAcentral describes it as "partial 16S ribosomal RNA". It matches the Rfam family "Bacterial small subunit ribosomal RNA", at positions 28 to 507 of the family's 1533-position model. The record is from RNAcentral.